CCCUUAGAUGUUCUGGGCCGCACACGCGCUACACUGAAGGAGGCAGCGUGUACUCCUGGAUCGAAAGAUUUGGGUAACCCGCGAAUCUCCUUCGUGCUAGGGAUUGAGGUUUGCAAUUAUCCUUCAUGGACGAGGAAUUCCCAGUAAGUGCAAGUCAUAAGCUUGCGCUGACUACGUCCCUGCCCUUUGUACACACCGCCCGUCGCUACUACCGAUUGAAUGAUUUAGUGAGGACUUCGGACUGGGACCGAUGCGGCUUUCGGGCUGCGUCGGUAUUCUGGAAAGAUGUCCAAACUGUAUCAUUUAGAGGAAGUAAAANUCGUANCA
Molecule: ribosomal RNA, 327 nt
Filed under: uncultured eukaryote
Lineage: Eukaryota
Description: partial 18S ribosomal RNA
Rfam family: Eukaryotic small subunit ribosomal RNA
Source: RNAcentral